This 2919-nucleotide ribosomal RNA is filed under the name Bacillus thuringiensis. RNAcentral's name for it is "bacterial LSU rRNA". It matches the Rfam family "Bacterial large subunit ribosomal RNA". The record is from RNAcentral. Lineage: Bacteria; Bacillati; Bacillota; Bacilli; Caryophanales; Bacillaceae.
UUAAGUUAGAAAGGGCGCACGGUGGAUGCCUUGACACUAGGAGUCGAUGAAGGACGGGACUAACGCCGAUAUGCUUCGGGGAGCUGUAAGUAAGCUUUGAUCCGAAGAUUUCCGAAUGGGGAAACCCACCAUACGUAAUGGUAUGGUAUCCUUAUCUGAAUACAUAGGGUAAGGAAGACAGACCCAGGGAACUGAAACAUCUAAGUACCUGGAGGAAGAGAAAGCAAAUGCGAUUUCCUGAGUAGCGGCGAGCGAAACGGAACAUAGCCCAAACCAAGAGGCUUGCCUCUUGGGGUUGUAGGACAUUCUAUACGGAGUUACAAAGGAACGAGGUAGACGAAGCGACCUGGAAAGGUCCGUCGUAGAGGGUAACAACCCCGUAGUCGAAACUUCGUUCUCUCUUGAAUGUAUCCUGAGUACGGCGGAACACGUGAAAUUCCGUCGGAAUCUGGGAGGACCAUCUCCCAAGGCUAAAUACUCCCUAGUGAUCGAUAGUGAACCAGUACCGUGAGGGAAAGGUGAAAAGCACCCCGGAAGGGGAGUGAAAGAGAUCCUGAAACCGUGUGCCUACAAAUAGUCAGAGCCCGUUAACGGGUGAUGGCGUGCCUUUUGUAGAAUGAACCGGCGAGUUACGAUCCCGUGCGAGGUUAAGCUGAAGAGGCGGAGCCGCAGCGAAAGCGAGUCUGAAUAGGGCGUUUAGUACGUGGUCGUAGACCCGAAACCAGGUGAUCUACCCAUGUCCAGGGUGAAGUUCAGGUAACACUGAAUGGAGGCCCGAACCCACGCACGUUGAAAAGUGCGGGGAUGAGGUGUGGGUAGCGGAGAAAUUCCAAUCGAACCUGGAGAUAGCUGGUUCUCCCCGAAAUAGCUUUAGGGCUAGCCUUAAGUGUAAGAGUCUUGGAGGUAGAGCACUGAUUGGACUAGGGGUCCUCAUCGGAUUACCGAAUUCAGUCAAACUCCGAAUGCCAAUGACUUAUCCUUAGGAGUCAGACUGCGAGUGAUAAGAUCCGUAGUCAAAAGGGAAACAGCCCAGACCGCCAGCUAAGGUCCCAAAGUGUGUAUUAAGUGGAAAAGGAUGUGGAGUUGCUUAGACAACUAGGAUGUUGGCUUAGAAGCAGCCACCAUUUAAAGAGUGCGUAAUAGCUCACUAGUCGAGUGACUCUGCGCCGAAAAUGUACCGGGGCUAAAUACACCACCGAAGCUGCGGAUUGAUACCAAUGGUAUCAGUGGUAGGGGAGCGUUCUAAGGACAGUGAAGUCAGACCGGAAGGACUGGUGGAGUGCUUAGAAGUGAGAAUGCCGGUAUGAGUAGCGAAAGACGGGUGAGAAUCCCGUCCACCGAAUGCCUAAGGUUUCCUGAGGAAGGCUCGUCCGCUCAGGGUUAGUCAGGACCUAAGCCGAGGCCGACAGGCGUAGGCGAUGGACAACAGGUUGAUAUUCCUGUACCACCUCUUUAUCGUUUGAGCAAUGGAGGGACGCAGAAGGAUAGAAGAAGCGUGCGAUUGGUUGUGCACGUCCAAGCAGUUAGGCUGAUAAGUAGGCAAAUCCGCUUAUCGUGAAGGCUGAGCUGUGAUGGGGAAGCUCCUUAUGGAGCGAAGUCUUUGAUUCCCCGCUGCCAAGAAAAGCUUCUAGCGAGAUAAAAGGUGCCUGUACCGCAAACCGACACAGGUAGGCGAGGAGAGAAUCCUAAGGUGUGCGAGAGAACUCUGGUUAAGGAACUCGGCAAAAUGACCCCGUAACUUCGGGAGAAGGGGUGCUUUCUUAACGGAAAGCCGCAGUGAAUAGGCCCAAGCGACUGUUUAGCAAAAACACAGCUCUCUGCGAAGCCGUAAGGCGAAGUAUAGGGGGUGACACCUGCCCGGUGCUGGAAGGUUAAGGAGAGGGGUUAGCGUAAGCGAAGCUCUGAACUGAAGCCCCAGUAGACGGCGGCCGUAACUAUAACGGUCCUAAGGUAGCGAAAUUCCUUGUCGGGUAAGUUCCGACCCGCACGAAAGGUGUAACGAUUUGGGCACUGUCUCAACCAGAGACUCGGUGAAAUUAUAGUACCUGUGAAGAUGCAGGUUACCCGCGACAGGACGGAAAGACCCCGUGGAGCUUUACUGUAGCCUGAUAUUGAAUUUUGGUACAGUUUGUACAGGAUAGGCGGGAGCCUUUGAAACCGGAGCGCUAGCUUCGGUGGAGGCGCUGGUGGGAUACCGCCCUGACUGUAUUGAAAUUCUAACCUACGGGUCUUAUCGACCCGGGAGACAGUGUCAGGUGGGCAGUUUGACUGGGGCGGUCGCCUCCUAAAGUGUAACGGAGGCGCCCAAAGGUUCCCUCAGAAUGGUUGGAAAUCAUUCGUAGAGUGCAAAGGCAUAAGGGAGCUUGACUGCGAGACCUACAAGUCGAGCAGGGACGAAAGUCGGGCUUAGUGAUCCGGUGGUUCCGCAUGGAAGGGCCAUCGCUCAACGGAUAAAAGCUACCCCGGGGAUAACAGGCUUAUCUCCCCCAAGAGUCCACAUCGACGGGGAGGUUUGGCACCUCGAUGUCGGCUCAUCGCAUCCUGGGGCUGUAGUCGGUCCCAAGGGUUGGGCUGUUCGCCCAUUAAAGCGGUACGCGAGCUGGGUUCAGAACGUCGUGAGACAGUUCGGUCCCUAUCCGUCGUGGGCGUAGGAAAUUUGAGAGGAGCUGUCCUUAGUACGAGAGGACCGGGAUGGACGCACCGCUGGUGUACCAGUUGUUCUGCCAAGGGCAUAGCGGGUAGCUAUGUGCGGAAGGGAUAAGUGCUGAAAGCAUCUAAGCAUGAAGCCCCCCUCAAGAUGAGAUUUCCCAUAGCGUAAGCUAGUAAGAUCCCUGAAAGAUGAUCAGGUUGAUAGGUUCGAGGUGGAAGCAUGGUGACAUGUGGAGCUGACGAAUACUAAUAGAUCGAGGACUUAACCAU